CUGAGAAAGUAAAACUCAAAAGACUCUUUUCUCUCUACUUUUGAAUAUAUUGAGGAGGAUGGGAGGUGGUGGUAAUAUGAGCAGUAAAAUAGAAGAAAAGAAAAAUGAUG
This is a long non-coding RNA of Solanum tuberosum (potato), 110 nucleotides long. RefSeq lists it as uncharacterized. The transcript is spliced from 2 exons. The record is from RefSeq and is a predicted model, not a curated record. Lineage: Eukaryota; Viridiplantae; Streptophyta; Magnoliopsida; Solanales; Solanaceae.